Molecule: non-coding RNA, 1575 nt
Organism: Nannospalax galili (Upper Galilee mountains blind mole rat)
Lineage: Eukaryota; Metazoa; Chordata; Mammalia; Rodentia; Spalacidae
Source: the annotation of a RefSeq genome assembly
AUGCCUGUCCCGGAGGAAGAGGAGACGCUCCUGCCGCUCGCGCAGAGAUGGCCCCGAGCGAGCAAGUUCCUACUGUCCGGCUGCGCUGCCACCGUGGCCGAGCUAGCCUCUGUCAAGGCCCCUUCGAUCUACCGCUUGAAGCCUUGCACCAGAGGCACUGGCCCUUUGACACUGGGGUGCCUGGUCAAGGACUACUUCCCAGACCCCAUGACGGUGACCUGGUAUACAACCGCCUUGAACACGAGCACCAUGAACUUCCCUGCCAAAACCCUCAGCUCAGAACUCUCAGUCGCCGCCAGCAGUAUCACCACCUGGGGCCCGUUGGCCAAGGACAACUUCACGUGCCACGUGGUACAUGCCCCGUCCUUGACCUCCGAGAAUAGAACCAUCCCAGCGUUACCUGUAACCCGGCCCACCGUGAAGCUGUUGCACUCAUCCUGCGACCCCAGUGCCUUCCACUCCACCAUCCAGCUCUACUGCUUCGUUUACGGCCACAUCGCUGAUGAUGUCAGGAUCACCUGGCUGAAGAACGAUGAGAAGAUGCCCGACACAUUCCCACGUGAGUUCACACUCAAGAAGGAGGGCAAGCUAGCCUCCACCUACAGUGAGCUCAACAUCACCCAUCAGCAGUGGGCAUCUGAGAGCACCUUCUCCUGCAAGGUCACCUCUCAAGAGGUGACCUACUGGGCCCAUGCCCAUCAGUGUGCAGAUUAUGAGCCACGUGGCGUGAGUACCUACCUGAUCCCGCCCAGCCCCCUGGACCUGUAUGUACACAAGACACCCAAGCUCACCUGUCUGGUGGUGGACCUGGAAAGCGCAGACCGGGUCAGUGUGAGCUGGACCCAAGAGGAUAAAAAAUCUGCAACCUCAGAACCCCAGCAUGUCACCAAGCACCACAACGCCACAACCAGCAUCACCUCCACCCUGCCAGUGGAUACCAAGGACUGGAGUGAAGGCAAAGGCUAUCGGUGCAUAGUGAACCACCCUGACCUGCCCAAGCCCAUUGUGCGUGCCAUCACCAAGGCGCCAGGCAAACGCUCACCUCCUGAGGUCUACAUGUUCCUGGGGCCAGAGGUGGAGAACAAGAGCCAUCGUACGCUCACCUGCCUGAUCGAGAACUUCUUCCCCGCUGACAUCUCAGUGCAGUGGCUUCGGGAUGGCGAACCAAUCCAGAACGCCCAGUACAGCACCACGGCACCCCUGAAGGCCAACGGCGCCGAUCCUGCCUUCUUCAUCUUUAGCCGUCUGGAGGUCACCAAGGUGAACUGGGAGCAGAAUAACAAAUUCACCUGCCGCGUGAUCCAUGAGGCCCUGCAGGAACCUAAGACCUUGGAGAAAACUAUGUCCAAGAGCCUUGAGCUAGACCUCCAGGAACUGUGUACGGAGGAAGCCGAGAGCCAGGAGCUGGAAGGGCUGUGGACCAGCACCUACAUCUUCAUCACCCUGUUCCUGCUCAGCGUGAGCUACGGGGCUGCCGUCACCCUCAUCAAGGUCAAGUGGGUCUUCUUGGCACUGACGCAGGGCACACCCCAGACCCUCCAUGACUACGCCAACAUUCUCCAGCCCAGGGCCUAG